AAGGUAACUCCCUCCGUUCCAUAAUUCUUGUCUCAAAUUUGCCCAAAUAUGGAUGUAUCUAUUCCUAAAAAGUGUCUAGAUACAUGUAAUAUUUCGACAAGACAAGAAUUAUGGAACGGAGGCAGUAAAAG
This is a non-coding RNA of Brachypodium distachyon (stiff brome), 131 nucleotides long. The record is from Rfam. Lineage: Eukaryota; Viridiplantae; Streptophyta; Magnoliopsida; Poales; Poaceae.